This 90-nucleotide ribosomal RNA is filed under the name Salvator merianae (Argentine black and white tegu). The record is from RNAcentral. Lineage: Eukaryota; Metazoa; Chordata; Lepidosauria; Squamata; Teiidae.
CAAUAUUGUCUUAUCUCAGAAAUUAAACAAAGUCGCCACUGGUUACUACUUAGAUGGGAGCCUGACUGGGAAUAACAGGGGCAGUAUUAU